Non-coding RNA from Chrysemys picta bellii (western painted turtle), 775 nucleotides. The record is from RefSeq and is a predicted model, not a curated record. NCBI's taxonomy places the organism in Eukaryota, Metazoa, Chordata, Testudines, Emydidae.
ACAGGUGAAUCCCCAGACACAGACAAAACGGAGGACUCUGGUGAAAGGAAACAGAACAAGGAUACCACACACACUGGAAUCAACGUGGUUAGAGCUUGGUAUGGGCUUGUUGACCAGGGGAAUAGAAGAGUGCCAAGAAUAAUUUUGAAACGGCUCAUUCGAACACAGCCUGGCUGGUUGUGAGUCCAGAAAAAGAACUUGUGCUCCAAUUGUUUUUGAAACAUGUUUUCUCGAAUGACCUUGCAUAGUCAAACUGUGGCUGAGUUGCAAUCAAGUGAGCUGCUUUGAAAUUCUUUAUGAAUGGUUCUGCCAGCACUGCGCAGUCCUGUUCAGUGGGACGUAGGUACAGCAAAUUCCUGAAAAAAGUAUUUAAAGCAACAUACCCCUUUUGGAGACCACAAGUUUUGCAGAGCGAGAAAAGAUGGGCAGUGAAUCGUGUCCUGUUGAGAAGAUGGCACCAGAGCCACUCCUGAAUUCCCAGGAAGCCCAAGUGAAACGCAAUGGAGAGACUUGUGUAGAUGUCACUACAUAUGGCAGAGAGAGAAGCAAAAGUUCUCCUAUAGGCUGUCUGUCAAGAGUCAAGACAUGGUCUCGUCCUUUCACAAUUCUGAGUGUGGUUCUCAAUAUCGUUCUCAUCAGUCUCUUUAUUGCGUGGUCAGUGAGAAAAUCUGAACUGUGUCUGGCUGAUCCUAAAUUCCCAGAGGCCUCAUGCCCGGGCGGCUGGGUCAGUUACCGAGAGAAAUGCUACUACUUCUCCGAGACGGAAGGGAACUGG